Molecule: ribosomal RNA, 3262 nt
Filed under: Drosophila willistoni
Lineage: Eukaryota; Metazoa; Arthropoda; Insecta; Diptera; Drosophilidae
Description: eukaryotic LSU rRNA
Rfam family: Eukaryotic large subunit ribosomal RNA (bases 1870-3262)
Source: RNAcentral
CGUCAACGUGAAGAUGUAAAACUCCGAUGGAGUGAGGAAGAAGCGUGGAUGAUGGCGAGAAAGGAGGUGGAGCUCGAAGCAAGUGGUAAUUUAAGAUUUCCUAAUAAGAAGCUAGCGGAAGUAUUUACUCACCGUAGCUCCGAAGCAAUUAAAUGUUUUCGGAAAAGGGGUGAAUAUAAGGCAAAACUGGAGCAGAUAAGAGGGCAAUCUACUCCCACCCCAGAAGCGUUGGACUCAAUUACCUCACAGCGUCGACCUAGUUUACUCGAGCGAAACCACCAAGUAUCAUCGUCGGAAGCGCAACCAAUCAAUCCAUCAGAAUAACAGUCGAACUGGGAAAUCAUGGGGAUACUACAGGGCUAUCGCCCCGUAGAAUGUAGUCCCCGGUGGAGAGCCCAGGUCUUGUAAACUAUCGUAGAUAGGGCGCAGACCGUAGGGAAGGAAACCACUCUCCAAUGCUUAUCCAACUAUCUCCUGGAAGUAUUUCCAUUACCAAACGAACCACACACCAUCGGUCGAAACAAUUUGCGAAGACCUCGAACUAGGAGACAGUUAAGACAACAAGAAUACGCACAGGUUCAGCGUCGUUGGGAUAAGAAUACUGGGAGAUGCAUUAAAUCCUUGCUUGAUGGAACAGAUGAGUCGGUUAUGCCAAACCAAGAGAUAAUGGAACCCUAUUGGAAACAAGUAAUGACGAAUCCCAGCACAUGCUCUUGCAUAACACAAGAUUCCCUAUGGAACAUUCGCUUGAGACGGUUUGGUCAGCGAUAACGCCACGCGACCUGCGGGAAAAUAAAUUAAAGUUGUCAAGUGCUCCGGGUCCUGACGGUAUCACUCCAAGAACAGCCAGGACCCUUAGGCAUUAUGCUACGCAUAAUGAACCUGAUUCUCUGGUGCGGCAAAAUACCAUUCUCUACCCGACUGGCCAGAACUAUCUUCAUUCCGAAGACUGUGACGGCAAAUCGACCGCAAGACUUUCGUCCAAUAACAGUCCCCUCGGUUUUGGUCAGGCAAUUAAACGCUGUUCUGGCUUCUCGAUUGGCUUCUAAAGUCAACUGGGAUCCAAAGCAGCGCGGUUUCCUACCUACCGAUGGGUAUGCUGAUAAUGCGACUUUGGUUGAUCUCAUUUUGCGGGAGCACCAUAAACGGUGGAAGUCAUGUUACCUUGCGACGGUGGAUGUCAGCAAGGCUUUUGACUCAGUAUCACACCAGGCCAUUAUCAAGACUUUACAGGCCUAUGGUGCUCCAACAAACUUUGUAAGCUUUAUAGAAGAACAGUAUAAAGGCGGUGAUAAUACCGUGCGCGGGGCGUUAAGCAAGGUAACCCUCUGUCUCCACUAUUAUUUAAUCUUAUCAUUGAUAGAUUACUUAGGUCCUACGCCAGAAAGAUUGGUGCCAAAGUCGGAAAUACCAUGACAAGCGCGGCAGCGUUCGCGGAUGAUCUGGUGCUAUUUGCGGAAACUCCGAUGGGGCUUCAAACAUUGUUGGAUACCACGGUAGGCUUCCUAGCCUCCGUGGGACUCUCCCUUAAUGCUGAUAAGUGCUUCACUGUCAGUAUAAAGGGGCAAGCCAAGAAGAAGUGUACUGUCGUAGAACGACAGAGCUUUUGUGUAAAGGAGCGCGAGUGUCCUUCAUUGAAGCGUACUGAAGAGUGAAAGUAGGUAUCCGGUUCACUGCGGAUGGGCGGGCUCGGUAUAGUCCAGCAGACGACCUCGGUCCGAAGCUGUUAAGAUUAACAAGAGCCCCUCUGAAACCACAACAGAAGUUAUUUGCACUUAGGACUGUCCUUAUCCCACAACUCUAUCACCAACUAACACUUGGGAGUGUGAUGAUAGGUUAAAUCGAGUUUCAUUCCGUUACACUCAACUGGAGAGGAAUCUGGAGUGGUCAGUCGGUAAAACGAUUGAUUGCAAAAGAUCUCCUCAUCGCUGAAGAUACCAAACUCAUCAGCGUCAGAGCAGUAAAUGGCGGAGUGACGUCUUUUAAAUAUUUCAUGUAUUGUGCUGGGUAUACUCGAAGCUAGAUGUACUAACCUCUAGUUUCUCUAUACUUUUGCCUGCUACCUUGGCAUUACAUCUAAAAAGGUACAAAUAUCUCAUUGUCAAAAAGAGGUGGUUUUAGUACGUAGGCGCUGUGGGACUUCAUUGUCCCGAUGAUGCAGCGAAUCGUGCAUACGAGAUUGUCCAGUAGUUGGUUGCUCGUAUCUUUAGAAGAUUUCCUUCCUCGGCGAUCAAAAAAAAAAAAAAAAUAGUUAAAUGCCUCGUCAUCUAAUUAGUGACGCGCAUGAAUGGAUUAACGAGAUUCCUUCUGUCCCUAUCUAGUAUCUAGCGAAACCACAGCCAAGGGAACGGGCUUGGAAUAAUUAGCGGGGAAAGAAGAACCUUUUGAGCUUGGUUUUUGAUUGCAAGCUUCUUGAUCAAAGUAUCACGAGUUUGUUAUAUAAUCGCAAACAAAUUCUUUAAUGAGAGAGUGCGUUUAUGUAUUUUUAAUUUGAAAUAUUUGGUAUAACUCCAAUUACUCAGGUAUGAUCCAAUUCAAGGACAUUGCUAGGUAGGGAGUUUGACUGGGGCGGUACAUCUCUCAAAUAAUAACGGAGGUGUCCCAAGGCCAGCUCAGUGCGGACAGAAACCACACAUAGAGCAAAAGGGCAAAUGCUGACUUGAUCUCGGUGUUCAGUAUACACAGGGACAGCAAAAGCUCGGUUUAAAGAGUUUUUAGAAAGAGGUGUCAGAAAAGUUACCAUAGGGAUAACUGGCUUGUGGCGGCCAAGCGUUCAUAGCGACGUCGCUUUUUGAUCCUUCGAUGUCGGCUCUUCCUAUCAUUGUGAAGCAAAAUUCACCAAGCGUUGGAUUGUUCACCCAUGCAAGGGAACGUGAGCUGGGUUUAGACCGUCGUGAGACAGGUUAGUUUUACCCUACUAAUGACAAAACGUUGUUGCGACAGCAUUCCUGCGUAGUACGAGAGGAACCGCAGGUACGGACCAAUAACAACGGCACAAUACUUGUUCGAGCGAACAGUGGUAUGACGCUACGUCCGUUGGAUUAUGCCUGAACGCCUCUAAGGUCGUAUCCGUGCUGGACUGCAAUGAUAAAUAAGGGGCAAUUUGCAUUGUAUGGCUUCUAAACCAUUAAAAGUUUAUUUUAUAAACGACAAUGGAUGUGAUGCCAAUGUUAUUUGUAACAUAGUAAAUUGGGAGGAUCUUCGAUCACCUGAUGCCGCGCUAGUUACUUAUUAAAACAUUAUUUAAUACAAUGACAAAGCC